RNAcentral lists this ribosomal RNA (497 nucleotides) under uncultured bacterium. Its description in RNAcentral is "partial 16S ribosomal RNA". It matches the Rfam family "Bacterial small subunit ribosomal RNA", at positions 28 to 507 of the family's 1533-position model. The record is from RNAcentral.
GAUGAACGCUGGCGGCGUGCCUAAUACAUGCAAGUCGAGCGAACAGACGAGGAGCUUGCUCCUCUGAUGUUAGCGGCGGACGGGUGAGUAACACGUGGAUAACCUACCUAUAAGACUGGGAUAACUUCGGGAAACCGGAGCUAAUACCGGAUAACAUGUUGAACCGCAUGGUUCAACAGUGAAAGACGGUCUUGCUGUCACUUAUAGAUGGAUCCGCGCCGCAUUAGCUAGUUGGUAAGGUAACGGCUUACCAAGGCAACGAUGCGUAGCCGACCUGAGAGGGUGAUCGGCCACACUGGAACUGAGACACGGUCCAGAGUCCUACGGGAGGCAGCAGUAGGGAAUCUUCCGCAAUGGGCGAAAGCCUGACGGAGCAACGCCGCGUGAGUGAAGAAGGUCUUCGGAUCGUAAAACUCUGUUAUUAGGGAAGAACAAAUGUGUAAGUAACUAUGCACGUCUUGACGGUACCUAAUCAGAAAGCCACGGCUAACUACGUG